AAUCAACGCUGGCGGCGUGCCUCAGACAUGCAAGUCGAACGCGAAAGUCCCCUUCGGGGGGAUGAUUAGAGUGGCGCACGGGUGAGUAACACGUAGGUAAUCUACCUUCGAGUGGGGAAUAACUCAGGGAAACUUGAGCUAAUACCGCAUAAUGCAGCGGCACCACAUGGUGACAGUUGUUAAAGCAUUUAUGCGCUUGAAGAGGAGCCUGCGGCAGAUAGCUAGUUGGUAAGGUAAUGGCUUACCAAGGCUACGAUCUGUAACCGGCCUGAGAGGGCGGACGGUCACACUGACACUGAAUAACGGGUCAGACUCCUACGGGAGGCAGCAGUCGGGAAUUUUGGGCAAUGGGCGAAAGCCUGACCCAGCAACGCCGCGUGAAGGA
Molecule: ribosomal RNA, 385 nt
Filed under: uncultured bacterium
Lineage: Bacteria
Description: bacterial SSU rRNA
Rfam family: Bacterial small subunit ribosomal RNA
Source: RNAcentral